This is a regulatory RNA element of 174 nucleotides. It matches the Rfam family "Ribosomal protein L10 leader". Rfam says of the family: This family is a putative r-protein leader autoregulatory structure found in B. subtilis and other low-GC Gram-positive bacteria. The record is from Rfam.
UAAUCAAAAAUCAAUAAGCUGAAGACCGCAGGUGCCGAUCGCUUAAUUUCCUGCCGAGGCUGAAGAAAUAAAAACUCAAGACUCAAAGAUUAGAAAAUUUCUAUUUUUUAAUUCUGACUUGUUAAUUUUUAAUUCUCUGCCCCGGCUCGAAGGUCGGGGUUUUUGACGGGCAAU